This 441-nucleotide ribosomal RNA is filed under the name uncultured bacterium. RNAcentral's name for it is "partial 16S ribosomal RNA". It matches the Rfam family "Bacterial small subunit ribosomal RNA", at positions 338 to 795 of the family's 1533-position model. The record is from RNAcentral.
CCUACGGGUGACAGCAGUGGGGAAUAUUGCACAAUGGGGGGAACCCUGAUGCAGCGACGCCGCGUGAGCGAGGAAGUACUUCGGUAUGUAAAGCUCUAUCAGCAGGGACGAAAAAAGACGGUACCUGACUAAGAAGCCCCGGCUAACUACGUGCCAGCAGCCCCGGUAAUACGGAGGGGGCAAGCGUGAUCCGGAUUUACUGGGUUUAAAGGGAGCGUAGACGGUGAGGCAAGCCAGAAGUGAAAGGGCAGGGCUAAACCCUGGAAAUGCUUUUGUAACUGUGGGGCUAGAGUGGAGGAGAGGUAAGCGGAAUUCGGGGUGUAGCGGUGAAAUGCGUAGAUAUUAGGAGGAACACCAGUGGCGAAGGCGGCUUACUGGACUGUAACUGACGUUGAGGCUCGAAAGCGUGGGGAGCAAACAGGAUUAGAUACCCUAGUAGUC